UACGUAGGGUGCAAGCGUUAUCCGGAAUUAUUGGGCGUAAAGCGUUCGCAGGCGGUUUGUUAAGUCUGUGGUUAAAUCUGGCCGCUCAACGGUCAACAUGCCACGGAUACUAUCGAACUAGAGAAUGGUAGAGGCAACUGGAAUUCUGCGUGUAGGGGUAAAAUCCGUUGAUACGCAGAGGAACACCAAAAGCGAAGGCAGGUUGCUGGGCCAUUUCUGACGCUGUUGAACGAAAGCGUGGGUAGCAAACAGG
Molecule: ribosomal RNA, 253 nt
Filed under: uncultured bacterium
Lineage: Bacteria
Description: partial 16S ribosomal RNA
Rfam family: Bacterial small subunit ribosomal RNA
Source: RNAcentral